AAUCCCUCUCUCUCCG
This 16-nucleotide transfer RNA is filed under the name Pinus kwangtungensis. Its description in RNAcentral is "partial tRNA-Ser". Lineage: Eukaryota; Viridiplantae; Streptophyta; Pinopsida; Pinales; Pinaceae. The record is from RNAcentral.